RNAcentral lists this long non-coding RNA (1421 nucleotides) under Salvia miltiorrhiza (redroot sage). RNAcentral's name for it is "long non-coding RNA (SMIL_LNC005626)". Lineage: Eukaryota; Viridiplantae; Streptophyta; Magnoliopsida; Lamiales; Lamiaceae. The record is from RNAcentral.
UUUAGUAACCGUAACUUUCUCUCUGUCGAUGAAAUGCAAUGCAGCCGCUUUUCACCCCUGUUCAACAAGCGACAACUGCUGCAAUCUUCCGCCUCUCCUCUUGCCUUCGUUACCUUUCAUCCACAGUGGGAACUUCGUCGGCGAUAGCUUCAGUUUUCCAUCUAAUUUUACCAGUGCCUUGCAGCGCUGUUCGACCACUGAUGUUCAUCUGGAAAGCCACCAGUCCCUCUCCCAGUCAAUCGAUAGAGAAACUACGUACCAUCACCAUCUCCAAUUUCUUUGAUAUAUUCUAUUUCAAUUUCUUUCAAUUCUUAAUUAAUUUCUUAGUUUUGCUAAAUACAAGGUUUUGAUAUGUAUUUAUAGUGAAGUUUGGGGAAGUUAUACGAAAGUUAUUGAAUUUUGGUGGAGUUUGAAGGUUUCUCAAGAAAAUUUGAGGUAAGCUGCAGUUGCACAAAUUAAUUUUUUGAUUCGGCGAUUGAGAGGCCAGGGUUGGCGGCGGCAGCGAGUUCGUUCAAAGUUAUUGUUUUGCCUCUGGAGACAUACCAUGUUAAAAUUAUUGGAAAUCAAAUCAUAUAGUGUCUUUUUUGUGUCUAUAAGAGGGAAAUUAUUUUUAGGGAUUUACGAGAUUAUUAAUUAAUGUUCAUGUGCACUACAGAAGUCGAAGGCAUGGUGGAUUGAAGAGUUGCGAAUGGUUGAGGUGCUGGAGAAGACAUAUUGCUCAAUAGAAUAAACUUUGUAUGUGAUGCAACCUCUUCAUCAUUAAUUCCAGCAUUGUUAUCUUUAGGUGCAUUAUGUACUCUGUUAAUCUUUGGGUGAUUUAUUUAUUUAUUGUCGAUGCUCUGUUUCAGUUAUAAAUUAGAUAAUUAUGUUGGAUUAAGUACUUGGUAAUUUGUACACAUAAAUAACUCUUGAUUUAUGUUCUUCUGAAUUGGAGAGGAAAACUAAUUAUAUAAUGUGAUACUCAUUUUAAGACCCAGAUUUACCGAAAAGUUGACUCUCUCAACCUCAACUUUUAGAGGAAGUUUUAUUACCCCUCAAUAUAUGGUUGCAAAAUUCUUUUGCAGCAAACAAAAUUAUGUUUUCUGUGCAACAAAACUGUUGAUGUUGUUUGAGCCGUUGGUAGCAAUAUAUAGUGCUUAUUUAGUGUGUCUGUGAGUGAUACUCGCCUGAGAUUGGUGUCUAGGACAUCUUGAAUGUCGAUGAUACUCCCCUUCCCCUUGAGUGAUAUCACAAAGCUUAGCAGAAGAGCAAGAUAAACAUGAAUGCUCUUGAAAGUCUUUUCAGGUUUAUGACACCUGAAGUUUCUCGACUAAAUUGUUGGCUGACAUGCUGUGGCUUGGUCCAUGAAGAAAAUCCUAUAGUAUUAGAGAAAAAAUGAAAAUGUAGCAUGCAUCUUGGUGGAACCAGACUCAUAUCGAUAA